This 404-nucleotide ribosomal RNA is filed under the name Fusobacteriota bacterium. Its description in RNAcentral is "Fusobacteria bacterium partial 16S ribosomal RNA". It matches the Rfam family "Bacterial small subunit ribosomal RNA", at positions 355 to 776 of the family's 1533-position model. Lineage: Bacteria; Fusobacteriati; Fusobacteriota. The record is from RNAcentral.
UGGGGAAUAUUGCACAAUGGAGGGAACUCUGAUGCAGCGACGCCGCGUGAGUGAUGAAGGAAUUCGUUUCGUAAAACUCUGUUCUAUGGGAAGAAAAGGACUGUACCAUAGGAGAAAGCUCCGGCUAAAUACGUGCCAGCAGCCGCGGUAAUACGUAUGGAGCGAGCGUUGUCCGGGAUUAUUGGGCGUAAAGGGUGCGCAGGCGGCUUUACAAGUUGGAUGUGAAAUAUUGUGGCUCAACCACAAACGUGCAUCCAAAACUGUAAAGCUUGGGUUAAGGAGAGGUAAGUGGAAUUCCUGGUGUAGCGGUGGAAUGCGUAGAUAUCAGGAGGAAUACCGGUGGCGAAGGCGACUUACUGGACUUAAACUGACGCUCAGGCACGAAAGCGUGGGGAGCAAACAGG